This is a small nuclear RNA of Condylostylus longicornis, 128 nucleotides long. RefSeq annotates it as U4atac minor spliceosomal RNA. The transcript has a single exon. The record is from RefSeq and is a predicted model, not a curated record. NCBI's taxonomy places the organism in Eukaryota, Metazoa, Arthropoda, Insecta, Diptera, Dolichopodidae.
UUCUUCCUUGUCGAGGGGAGCAUAAUGUCCAAUGAACGUUUAGUGAGGGCAUUGAUGCUGAAACCCUUAUUUAAGACACUCCCGUUCGAUUUUAUCUUAAGAUAAAAACGUUCGGAAUUUUUGGAUAG